UGCAUUCACUACUGUAAGUCGCUCUGGAUAAGAGUGUCUGCUAAAUGACAUAAA
Molecule: non-coding RNA, 54 nt
Organism: Salmo salar (Atlantic salmon)
Lineage: Eukaryota; Metazoa; Chordata; Actinopteri; Salmoniformes; Salmonidae
Source: Rfam